UCUCCGUAGGUGAACCUGCGGAGGGAUCAUUACAGAGUUCAUGCCCUACCGGGUAGAUCUCCCACCCUAUGUUAUUAUUACUUUGUUGCUUUGGCGGGCCGUUAGGCUCCGGCCCGACUACCGGCCCCGGCUGGUAAGCGCCCGCCAGAGGACCCAAAACCCUGAAUAUUAGUGUCGUCUGAGUACUAUAUAAUAGUUAAAACUUUCAACAACGGAUCACUUGGUUCUG
This 229-nucleotide unclassified non-coding RNA is filed under the name plant metagenome. RNAcentral describes it as "partial contains small subunit ribosomal RNA, internal transcribed spacer 1, and 5.8S ribosomal RNA". The record is from RNAcentral.